UUGAGCUUUCUCCUUGAGCUAUUUGAGUUCGUCACUUUUGUCGGAUUUGGUUUGCCCCCGAUUUGGUUCGCAAGCUAUUUUCUAAUUUUUAGUGCUAGGUAUCAAAUUAUCGAGAGUGAAAUUUAUUUAUAAAAUUAAUCAGUGAGCGAAUCCAGGGAAUGGCCAGAGAAGUUUCGUCCUCAAGAAGCAGCCACCACAUUAUUCACUGAUGCUGCUGCUGCUAGUGGUGGUGGUGGUGGCCGU
Molecule: unclassified non-coding RNA, 243 nt
Filed under: Amphibalanus amphitrite
Lineage: Eukaryota; Metazoa; Arthropoda; Thecostraca; Balanomorpha; Balanidae
Description: serine/arginine repetitive matrix protein 1-like, transcript variant X1
Source: RNAcentral